GCCGAAGUGGUGGAACUUGGUAGACACGCUAUCUUGAGGGGGUAGUGCUCACAAGGCGUGCGGGUUCAAAUCCCGCCUUCGGCACCA
Molecule: transfer RNA, 87 nt
Filed under: Desulfatitalea sp.
Lineage: Bacteria; Pseudomonadati; Thermodesulfobacteriota; Desulfobacteria; Desulfobacterales; Desulfosarcinaceae
Description: tRNA-Leu
Rfam family: tRNA
About the family: Transfer RNA (tRNA) molecules are approximately 80 nucleotides in length. Their secondary structure includes four short double-helical elements and three loops (D, anti-codon, and T loops).
Source: RNAcentral